RNAcentral lists this ribosomal RNA (549 nucleotides) under uncultured bacterium. RNAcentral's name for it is "bacterial SSU rRNA". It matches the Rfam family "Bacterial small subunit ribosomal RNA", at positions 355 to 896 of the family's 1533-position model. The record is from RNAcentral.
UGGGGAAUAUUGCACAAUGGGCGCAAGCCUGAUGCAGCCAUGCCGCGUGUGUGAAGAAGGCCUUCGGGUUGUAAAGCACUUUCAGCGGGGAGGAAGGCGAUAAGGUUAAUAACCUUGUCGAUUGACGUUACCCGCAGAAGAAGCACCGGCUAACUCCGUGCCAGCAGCCGCGGCAAUACGGAGGGUGCAAGCGUUAAUCGGAAUUACUGGGCGUAAAGCGCACGCAGGCGGUCUGUCAAGUCGGAUGUGAAAUCCCCGGGCUCAACCUGGGAACUGCAUUCGAAACUGGCAGGCUAGAGUCUUGUAGAGGGGGGUAGAAUUCCAGGUGUAGCGGUGAAAUGCGUAGAGAUCUGGAGGAAUACCGGUGGCGAAGGCGGCCCCCUGGACAAAGACUGACGCUCAGGUGCGAAAGCGUGGGGAGCAAACAGGAUUAGAUACCCUGGUAGUCCACGCUGUAAACGAUGUCGAUUUGGAGGUUGUGCCCUUGAGGCGUGGCUUCCGGAGCUAACGCGUUAAAUCGACCGCCUGGGGAGUACGGCCGCAAGGUUA